AGCCGCGGUAAUACGGGGGGUGCAAGCGUUGUUCGGAAUUAUUGGGCGUAAAGCGUGCGUAGGCGGACUUUUAAGUCUGAUGUGAAAUCCCUCGGCUCAACCGAGGACGUGCAUUGGAUACUGGAAGUCUUGAGUCCCGGAGAGGAGAGCGGAAUUCCUAGUGUAGAGGUGAAAUUCGUAGAUAUUAGGAGGAACACCAGUGGCGAAAGCGGCUCUCUGGACGGUGACUGACGCUGAGGCACGAAAGCAUAGGUAGCAAACAGGAUUAGAUACCCUGGUAGUCUAUGCCGUAAACGAUGGAUACUAGUUGGUGCGGGUAUUGACCCCUGCGCUGACGAAGCUAACGCAUUAAGUAUCCCGCCUGGGGAGUACGGCCGCAAGGCUAAAACU
Molecule: ribosomal RNA, 390 nt
Filed under: uncultured delta proteobacterium
Lineage: Bacteria; Deltaproteobacteria
Description: bacterial SSU rRNA
Rfam family: Bacterial small subunit ribosomal RNA
Source: RNAcentral